Molecule: non-coding RNA, 69 nt
Organism: Podarcis lilfordi (Lilford's wall lizard)
Lineage: Eukaryota; Metazoa; Chordata; Lepidosauria; Squamata; Lacertidae
Source: the annotation of a GenBank genome assembly
GGAUAGCUCAAUCAGUAGAGCAUGCGACUCUUAAUCUCAGGAUCGUGGGUUCCAGCCCCACGUUGGACA